GGGUACUCGAGUGGCGAACGGGUGAGUAACACGUGGGUGAUCUGCCCUGCACUUCGGGAUAAGCCUGGGAAACUGGGUCUAAUACCGGAUAGGACCAUCGUUUAGUGUCGGUGGUGGAAAGUUUUUCGGUGUGGGAUGAGCUCGCGGCCUAUCAGCUUGUUGGUGGGGUAAUGGCCUACCAAGGCGUCGACGGGUAGCCGGCCUGAGAGGGUGUACGGCCACAUUGGGACUGAGAUACGGCCCAG
This 245-nucleotide ribosomal RNA is filed under the name uncultured Actinomycetales bacterium. RNAcentral's name for it is "partial 16S ribosomal RNA". It matches the Rfam family "Bacterial small subunit ribosomal RNA", at positions 85 to 334 of the family's 1533-position model. The record is from RNAcentral. Lineage: Bacteria; Bacillati; Actinomycetota; Actinomycetes; Actinomycetales.